GCAAGAAUUUGACUUGUCUGUGAGAGGAACAUACAGCACAAUGAAUGACCAAGAGCUGGACAACAUCAUAUCGGCUAUCAAAAAUCAGAUGCCAAAUGCUGGCUAUCGAAUGGUUCAAGGACAUUUGGUUUCUAUGGGUCUCCGUGUUCAGUGGUGGAGAAUGAUGGCCUCCAUGCAUCGAGUUGAUGCUGUAGGGAUCUUCACACGGAUCACAGAACUAGGCUGUGUUGUGCGAAGAAGCUACUCGGUGUGCGAGGCCCUCUCUCCCUAGUCCACAUAGACACAAAUCACAAGCUAAUAAGGUACAAUGUUGUGAUCUUUGGUGGAGUGGAUGGCUACUCAAGGAAGGUCCUGUACUUGGAUGCAGCAACUAACAACAGGGCAAAAACUGCAUUCUCAUUUUUCCUGAGAUCAGCCCAGCUUCACGGCUUGCCAUCAAGGGUUAGGGCAGAUCAAGGAGUAGAAAACCUGGACAUUGCACAUUUCAUGUUUGCCACAAGAGGAACAGGGAGAGCGAGUUUCAUAUCUGGAAAGAGUGUCCACAAUCAGAGAGUAGAACGACUUUGGC
Long non-coding RNA from Oreochromis aureus, 568 nucleotides. RefSeq lists it as uncharacterized. The transcript is spliced from 5 exons. The record is from RefSeq and is a predicted model, not a curated record. NCBI's taxonomy places the organism in Eukaryota, Metazoa, Chordata, Actinopteri, Cichliformes, Cichlidae.